RNAcentral lists this ribosomal RNA (252 nucleotides) under uncultured bacterium. Its description in RNAcentral is "partial 16S ribosomal RNA". It matches the Rfam family "Bacterial small subunit ribosomal RNA", at positions 524 to 776 of the family's 1533-position model. The record is from RNAcentral.
UACGUAAGGUCCGAGCGUUGUCCGGAAUCAUUGGGCGUAAAGGGUUCGCAGGCGGCAUGGCAAGUCCGAUGUAAAAGGCGAAAGCUCAACUUUCGUAAGCAUCGGAAACUGUCAAGCUUGAGUGAAGGAGAGGCAAGUGGAAUUCCUAGUGUAGCGGUGGAAUGCGUAGAUAUUAGGAGGAAUACCGGUGGCGAAGGCGACUUACUGGGCUCAUUCUGACGCUGAGGAACGAAAGCGUGGGUAGCAAACAGG